GACGAACGCUGGCGGCGUGCUCAACACAUGCAAGUCGAACGAAGAGCGAUGGAAGCUUGCCUCUAUCACUCUUAGUGGCGAACGGGUGAGUAACGCGUAAUCAACCUGCCCUUCAGAGGGGGACAACAGUUGGAAACGACUGCUAAUACCGCAUACGAUCUAAUCUCGGCAUCGAGGAAAGAUGAAAGGUGGCCUCUAUUUAUAAGCUAUCACUGAAGGAGGGGAUUGCGUCUGAUUAGCUAGUUGGAGGGGUAACGGCCCACCAAGGCGAUGAUCAGUAGCCGGUCUGAGAGGAUGAACGGCCACAUUGGGACUGAGACACGGCCCAGACUCCUACGGGAGGCAGCAGUGGGGAAUCUUCCGCAAUGGACGAAAGUCUGACGGAGCAACGCCGCGUGAGUGAUGACGGCCUUCGGGUUGUAAAGCUCUGUUAAUCGGGACGAAAGGCCUUCUUGCGAACAGUUAGAAGGAUUGACGGUACCGGAAUAGAAAGCCACGGCUAACUACGUG
Molecule: ribosomal RNA, 510 nt
Filed under: uncultured bacterium
Lineage: Bacteria
Description: partial 16S ribosomal RNA
Rfam family: Bacterial small subunit ribosomal RNA
Source: RNAcentral